AUAAUAGAUUACUAGACUUCAAGUUUGUUUUCUUCACCUUAAAAUAAUAAGUAUCAAGAAAAAUAAGCUCACAUACGCUAGGUAAAUUAGCUCUAAUAAGUUCCAAUGAAGAAAGUAUAUAUUAUCGAUCAAUUGCUUGUCUUGAAAAUUGUAUUAAUUGAAGUUGAAGAUGAAAAAAAUAAGCAACUAUUCAGAUGGUUAGUAUUAAGGCCUAAACUUGCAUUACUUUCGUCUGGAAGAAAUUAACAUAAACAAUACUGCUAUAUCGUUAGCCGAUCGACUUAUGAUGUGGGGCCUUGUAGAGUUGUAGGCUACUACUUAACAACUGUCUGUCUCUCACUCUCUUUUCUUAUCUCUUUUAUAGCCAAAGAGAACAAUAGUGUCCCUCUUGAAAUUUACUUAAAAGCCCCUCUUGUAAUACCCCUAUUUUAAAGUGUAUUUUAUUAAGUGCUAAGUAUGAUUACUAGCCUUAUUAUAUAAUAAUAUUUCUCGAGUGUAUUUAAAAGAAAUUGAGUUUGACCAUGCAAUUAGUGAAUAGCUAAUAUUCUUUAUUUAGUUAAUCGUAUUGUAAUAUUUUAGUGGAAUUACUAUUAAUGUAAACUCUUAAUAGUAGUAUAUAACUUAUAUUUUGAAAAGGAAAAUAGAUGUUUUCUUUUAGAUAUAUAUAUGUAUAAGGAGAGAAGUUUAAGAUAAUUUGACCCAUUUCUUUUGCACUUGUCGGUUUGUUUGGAUGAAAUAAAUCCAAACCCAUCUCAUUUCCUUUCUUUUUCUACCGUGUCCUCUGCUUCUCUCACCGCUAUUCUCGCACUUCUUUCUCAUCUGUCUCUCCGGCGCCGUCGCUGCUGUCCAAGGGUGUCGGUUGCCAUUUUUCUCUUUCCUCUGCUUCAUUUAAAAUAUGGUGAGUUGAUGUCAUUGCUGUGUUGUUCUGCUGUUGCUAUUGCUGGUUGUUGUUAAUGGCGGUUCAUCGCCGGAAAUGGCAGCCACAUGCUGCUCCUUUUGUGUACAUGAAGGUAAUGUAUAAAGAAGGUUCGAUGUUGGAAGUUUGUUGUAUGCUUUAUACUAUUUGUAUCGCGACGAGGGCGAUCAACUUUGUAAUAUUAUAAUUAAUAGUUAAUUUGUAAUUAAAUUAAAAAGGUUUGAGUUUGUAAAGUCUAGACUUAUUUGGGUUGCUGGAUUUUGAGGAUACAGGAUUAUGAAUUGGACGCGAGUCCUAAAUUAAGUUUUAGGCAGUCCAUAUUACAAAUGGAACUUUGCCGAAUUUUCUGUAGGAUUUUAAUAAUAUAUCUAGUUGUUUAAAUAUUUGAGAAUCA
Beta vulgaris subsp. vulgaris (sugar beet) is the source of this 1310-nucleotide long non-coding RNA. RefSeq lists it as uncharacterized. The transcript is spliced from 2 exons. The record is from RefSeq and is a predicted model, not a curated record. NCBI's taxonomy places the organism in Eukaryota, Viridiplantae, Streptophyta, Magnoliopsida, Caryophyllales, Amaranthaceae.